Molecule: unclassified non-coding RNA, 261 nt
Filed under: Hevea brasiliensis (rubber tree)
Lineage: Eukaryota; Viridiplantae; Streptophyta; Magnoliopsida; Malpighiales; Euphorbiaceae
Source: RNAcentral
CUCAGCAAUCUCAGAAAAAACUGACGUUUACAGUUUUGGAAUGGUACUGCUUGAACUUGUGAGUGGAAGGAAAAAUUGCUCGACCCGAACACAGAGCCACAGCAUGGACAAUAGUAACAGCGGUGGGGGCCAAUCAACAUCANNNCAGGAUCAGGAGUUGUUUAUUUCCCAUUAUUGGCAUUGGAUAUGCAUGAGCAAGGGAGGUACAUGGAGCUUGCUGACCCAAGGCUAGAGGGGAGGGUGACAAGUGAAGAGGUGGAA